This 392-nucleotide unclassified non-coding RNA is filed under the name soil metagenome. RNAcentral's name for it is "partial contains 5.8S ribosomal RNA, internal transcribed spacer 2, and large subunit ribosomal RNA". The stretch from base 1 to 120 matches the Rfam family "5.8S ribosomal RNA", at positions 35 to 154 of the family's 154-position model. The record is from RNAcentral.
GAUGAAGAACGUAGCGAAAUGCGAUAAGUAAUGUGAAUUGCAGAAUUCAGUGAAUCAUCGAAUCUUUGAACGCACCUUGCACCCUUUGGUAUUCCAAAGGGUAUGCUUGUUUGAGUGUCAUUGUACUCUCACACUCUCUGAUCCUUUGGAUUGGGAGUGGUGGACUUGGGUGUUGCUGCAGCAGCUCUUACUACGUGGCUCACCUCAAAUGCAUUAGUGCAACUCCUGGUUGGACAUAGUACGGCGUGAUAAGUGUCUUCGCCGGCGCCUCGCAAGAGGGUGGCUGAUUGGGAGCUCUGUGCUUCUUAACUGUCUUUGGACAAUCUCUGACAACUUGACCUCAAAUCAAGUAGGACUACCCGCUGAACUUAAGCAUAUCAAUAAGCGGAGGA